This 462-nucleotide ribosomal RNA is filed under the name Triticum aestivum (bread wheat). RNAcentral describes it as "partial small subunit ribosomal RNA". Lineage: Eukaryota; Viridiplantae; Streptophyta; Magnoliopsida; Poales; Poaceae. The record is from RNAcentral.
AUGUUUGCAUGGCUUCUCCUCCAAGUCAGACUUUGGUGCAACGAUCGCCUGCAGCGGCGCGGGUGGCCAAACGGUUACUUCUGUGCUCUCUGUCACAGAAAUCUUGAAUGCUCUACGCACCUAUUCUGGGAUUGCCCGCUUGCACGGUCGGUUUGGGAGGCGGCAUCCUUCUGGAAUGCAUGUGCAGCCCUGCAGCUUGCCAGAACAACGAGCCACUCAUCGCUGAGGCACUGGAAAAAAACAGUCCAACUAGCACCAUCAAACUCCAGGAAAGGGCUGAAGACGAUGAUGAUGCUGAUAGCCUCGGAGAUAUGGAAGGAGAGAAAUGCAUGUGUUUUCAACAGCAAGAUGCCCCAUGCUGAAGACGUGCUGCACACCAUCAGGAACACGAUCGAGCUAUGGAGAAUGGCGGGUGCAACAAGCCUAGAGCCCCCCUUUGGGGAGUAUGUUGCGAGAGAUUAG